GUCCAGACUCCUACGGGAGGCAGCAGUGGGGAAUAUUGCACAAUGGGCGAAAGCCUGAUGCAGCAACGCCGCGUGAGUGAUGAAGGCCUUCGGGUUGUAAACCUCUGUCUUUUGGGACGAUAAUGACGGUACCAAAGGAGGAAGCCACGGCUAACUACG
This 159-nucleotide ribosomal RNA is filed under the name uncultured soil bacterium. Its description in RNAcentral is "partial 16S ribosomal RNA". It matches the Rfam family "Bacterial small subunit ribosomal RNA", at positions 329 to 505 of the family's 1533-position model. The record is from RNAcentral.